AGGUGUUGCAUGGCUGUCGUCAGCUCGUGUCGUGAGAUGUUGGGUUAAGUCCCGCAACGAGCGCAACCCUCAUCCUUAGUUACCAUCAGGUAAUGCUGGGGACUUUAAGGAAACUGCCAGUGAUAAACUGGAGGAAGGUGGGGAUGAUGUCAAGUCAUCAUGGCCCUUAUGGAGUGGGCUACACACGUGCUACAAUGGUGGCUACAAUGGGCUGCAAAGUCGCGAGGCUAAGCUAAUCCCUUAAAAGCCAUCUCAGUUCGGAUUGUACUCUGCAACUCGAGUGCAUGAAGUUGGAAUCGCUAGUAAUCGUGGAUCAGCACGCCACGGUGAAUACGUUCUCGGGUCUUGUACACACUGCCCGUCACGCCGUGGGAAUUGGUUUCACUCGAAGCU
Molecule: ribosomal RNA, 393 nt
Filed under: Wolbachia endosymbiont of Mayetiola destructor
Lineage: Bacteria; Pseudomonadati; Pseudomonadota; Alphaproteobacteria; Rickettsiales; Anaplasmataceae
Description: bacterial SSU rRNA
Rfam family: Bacterial small subunit ribosomal RNA
Source: RNAcentral